AUAUAUCUCCACAUGUGAUCACUUGUGUUUGAGUUUUAGGCAUUCGAUGUCGUAACUUACUCGAAACUUUCUCAAUUUUUUAUCAUAGCCUCUACAUUUGAUAACACGACGCUCCGACAAGUUUCGUGUUUUUCAGAAUUUGUUCGGAUUUUAUAUAAUUUUAAAACACUUUUUUCGCACGCACCUUGUCAUGUUACAUCAAAAAGAUGCUCGAUAUUUCAUGCGAGUUCCUAGAUACGGCCUCAACGUACACCAAAUAUCACAAGUAUAAUUUUUUGAAUGACUAAAUUCAAUUAUUUUAUACACCUAUAGUUCAAAUUUGAAAUGUUCUAUAAAAUUUAAUGAAACAAAAAAUUAGCAAAAUAUAGUAAAAAAAUUCCAAAUUAUCCCCAAUUUAAAUACAGAGUCUAUAAUAAUGUACUAAGGCCACAAGAAAAUGGAGCCAAAAGAACAAUUAUUUUACCAAGUCCAUGGCACUCGAUAAAAAAAAAGAAAAAAAAAGAAAAUUUCUUUCCCGAGUGCCCUAUCUGGAGCACUCGGCGAAGACCCAACUGGCCAGGCCUAAUUAGGCCCAACCAGCCCAUCCCGCCCCCACCCCCAACCCUAUUCCUCCGCGGCGCCCCA
This 624-nucleotide long non-coding RNA is filed under the name Sorghum bicolor (sorghum). RNAcentral's name for it is "long non-coding RNA (SBIC_LNC018735)". The record is from RNAcentral. Lineage: Eukaryota; Viridiplantae; Streptophyta; Magnoliopsida; Poales; Poaceae.